UUCCGAGGGGGAAAAGUUAUGGCGAUUAUGAGAAAUUUAACCAUAAGCGUAUAGCUUUUCCCCUUCGGCG
Molecule: microRNA precursor, 70 nt
Organism: Lasius niger
Lineage: Eukaryota; Metazoa; Arthropoda; Insecta; Hymenoptera; Formicidae
Rfam family: mir-965 microRNA precursor family
Source: Rfam